AGAGAGACCAGCUACAGACUGAGAGAGAUUUUCUUAGUGGGAGGCUUACCCAUCUCAAACAAACAUGUCCCAAAGGCUGGCAGAAUUUUGAAUCCAGUUGGUACUUCCUGUCUGAUGAUACUAAAACCUGGAAGGAGAGCAGAGAGGACUGUCUGGAGAGAGGAGCAGACCUGGUGAUCAUAAACAGUGAUAAGGAACAGGAGUUUCUCUUCAACCUCAACAAGGAGUCUGGAUUGGUCUGACUGACUCUGUUACUGAGGGGAACUUGAUAUGGGUGGACGGUACCCCACUGACCACCCCAAGGUACUGGCAUAAACCACAGCCUGAUAAUGGUGCUGGCAGACUAGACUAUGGUGAGGAGGACUGUGUUGAGAUACGUAAAGAUCAGCGUCCUCUGGAGGCAUGGAAUGACUUGUCAUGUGACAGGAAAAUCUACUGGGUUUGUGAGAAAGCUGUUUAACAUCACUAUGACAACAUACUGUAACACAUACAGCAGCACACAGUGCACGAAACUUCCUCCUUCAUUCUCUCGCUGUCUCUGUUUGUCU
Oncorhynchus nerka (sockeye salmon) is the source of this 548-nucleotide long non-coding RNA. RefSeq lists it as uncharacterized. NCBI's taxonomy places the organism in Eukaryota, Metazoa, Chordata, Actinopteri, Salmoniformes, Salmonidae. The transcript has 4 exons. The record is from RefSeq and is a predicted model, not a curated record.